RNAcentral lists this small nucleolar RNA (92 nucleotides) under Aspergillus sydowii CBS 593.65. RNAcentral's name for it is "A. fimigatus snoRNA Afu_298". It matches the Rfam family "A. fimigatus snoRNA Afu_298". Lineage: Eukaryota; Fungi; Ascomycota; Eurotiomycetes; Eurotiales; Aspergillaceae. The record is from Rfam by way of RNAcentral.
GCGGAAGAUGAUAUAAUUUUUAACUCGUAACACCUGUCGGUGUGCUGAAGAUUAAAAAACGCAACAACAAACACUCUAAUUUUUUGCUGACG